Molecule: ribosomal RNA, 378 nt
Filed under: uncultured bacterium
Lineage: Bacteria
Description: bacterial SSU rRNA
Rfam family: Bacterial small subunit ribosomal RNA
Source: RNAcentral
AUUGAACGCUGGCGGCAUGCCUUACACAUGCAAGUCGAACGGCAGCGGACCUUCGGGUGCCGGCGAGUGGCGAACGGGUGAGUAAUAUAUCGGAACGUACCUUUCAGUGGGGGAUAACGUAGCGAAAGUUACGCUAAUACCGCAUAUUCUGUGAGCAGGAAAGCAGGGGAUCGCAAGACCUUGCGCUGAUUGAGCGGCCGAUAUCAGAUUAGCUAGUUGGUGAGGUAAAGGCUCACCAAGGCGACGAUCUGUAGCGGGUCUGAGAGGAUGAUCCGCCACACUGGAACUGAGACACGGUCCAGACUCCUACGGGAGGCAGCAGUGGGGAAUUUUGGACAAUGGCGGCAAGCCUGAUCCAGCCAUGCCGCGUGAGUGAAG